Molecule: ribosomal RNA, 253 nt
Filed under: uncultured bacterium
Lineage: Bacteria
Description: partial 16S ribosomal RNA
Rfam family: Bacterial small subunit ribosomal RNA
Source: RNAcentral
UACGGAGGGUGCAAGCGUUGUCCGGAAUCACUGGGCGUAAAGGGCGCGUAGGCGGCUUGGUAAGUAGGGGGUGAAAUCUUGCGGCUCAACUGCAAGGCUGCCUCCUAAACUGCCGGGCUGGAGCACGGUAGAGGCAGAUGGAAUUCCCGGUGUAGCGGUGGAAUGCGUAGAGAUCGGGAAGAACAUCGGUGGCGAAGGCGGUCUGCUGGGCCGUUGCUGACGCUGAGGCGCGACAGCGUGGGGAGCAAACAGG